UUGACCUCGGAUCAGGUAGGGAUACCCGCUGAACUUAAGCAUAUCAAUAAGCGGAGGAAAAGAAACCAACAGGGAUUGCCCUAGUAACGGCGAGUGAAGCGGCAACAGCUCAAAUUUGAAAGCUAGCCUUCGGGUUCGCAUUGUAAUUUGUAGAGGAUGAUUUGGGGAAGCCGCCUGUCUAAGUUCCUUGGAACAGGACGUCAUAGAGGGUGAGAAUCCCGUAUGUGACAGGAAAUGGCACCCUAUGUAAAUCUCCUUCGACGAGUCGAGUUGUUUGGGAAUGCAGCUCUAAAUGGGAGGUAAAUUUCUUCUAAAGCUAAAUAUUGGCGAGAGACCGAUAGCGCACAAGUAGAGUGAUCGAAAGAUGAAAAGCACUUUGGAAAGAGAGUUAAAAAGCACGUGAAAUUGUUGAAAGGGAAGCGCUUGCAAUCAGACUUGUUUAAACUGUUCGGCCGGUCUUCUGACCGGUUUACUCAGUUUGGACAGGCCAGCAUCAGUUUCGGCGGCCGGAUAAAGGCUCUGGGAAUGUGGCCUCCACUUCGGUGGAGGUGUUAUAGCCCAGGGUGUAAUACGGCCAGCC
RNAcentral lists this ribosomal RNA (580 nucleotides) under Aureobasidium pullulans. Its description in RNAcentral is "eukaryotic LSU rRNA". It matches the Rfam family "Eukaryotic large subunit ribosomal RNA", at positions 1 to 588 of the family's 3401-position model. Lineage: Eukaryota; Fungi; Ascomycota; Dothideomycetes; Dothideales; Saccotheciaceae. The record is from RNAcentral.